This 1238-nucleotide ribosomal RNA is filed under the name Rhabditidoides sp. NK-2010. RNAcentral describes it as "eukaryotic LSU rRNA". It matches the Rfam family "Eukaryotic large subunit ribosomal RNA", at positions 367 to 1438 of the family's 3401-position model. Lineage: Eukaryota; Metazoa; Nematoda; Chromadorea; Rhabditida; Diplogasteridae. The record is from RNAcentral.
AAAAGAACUUUGAAGAGAGAGUUCAAGAGGACGUGAAACCACAAGGGGCGAAGCGGAGAGAGUUGAUAUAGCUGGCAGUGAUCAGUGCUGUAGAGUGCUCCGCUGUGCGUUGGCUGAUAGUUUAGUCGGUCGCGUGCGGUUUGGGUGGGCGCUUUGCGGUGCGCUUUCGCUGUCAGUAUACGCUGAGACGUUCGGAGUGUCCUUCUGAACCGUGCAGUGUGGUCCAGUUCGCUGGUAACCUGUUGUGCGGGGAGGUUGAUGUACGCUCUGUUCGGCAAAAGCUCGUUCAUGUACGGAGUUUGUGAGCGCUUGUCGGCUGCGGCGUUGGUGGCUUGCCAUCUGCGUCGUGUGUUGGCUCGUGUUUGCGAACGCUGUUAGGACUUGCUCUCGGUGAGAAAGUCGACCACCUCUCCGACCCGUCUUGAAACACGGACCAAGAAGUCUAGCAGUUGCGCGAGUCAAUGGGUUUUAAACCUACUGGCGAAAUGAAAGUGAAGGUCGGCUUGCCGGCUGAUAUGUGAUCCGUGGCUUCGGCUGCGGCGCAACAUAGCCCCAUGCUAAUUGCUUGCAAUGGUGUGGAGGUAGAGCGUAACUGCUGGGACCCGAAAGAUGGUGAACUAUGCCCGAGCAGGAUGAAGCCAGAGGAAACUCUGGUGGAAGUCCGAAGCGGUUCUGACGUGCAAAUCGAUCGUCUGACUCGGGUAUAGGGGCGAAAGACUAAUCGAACCAUCUAGUAGCUGGUUCCCUCCGAAGUUUCCCCCAGGAUAGCUGGAGUGAUGUGCUGUUAUAUUCGGUAAAGCGAAUGAUUAGAGGAAUUGGGGACGAAAUGUUCUCAACCUAUUCUCAAACUUUCAAUGGGUACGAUGUUGCGGUUUCUUAAUUGAACUGUGACUUCGAAAGCACGCUCCAAGUGGGCCAUUUUUGGUAAGCAGAACUGGCGAUGCGGGAUGAACCGAACGUCGAGAUAAGGUGCCUAACUCUCCGCUCAUGAGACCCCACAAAAGGCGUUGGUUGAUAUAGACAGCAGGACGGUGGCCAUGGAAGUUGGAAUCCGCUAAGGAGUGUGUAACAACUCACCUGCCGAAUCAACUAGCCCUGAAAAUGGAUGGCGCUUGAGCGGGGGACCUAUACUUGACCGUUGUUGGCUUGUACGGCUUCGGUCGUCUGGCCUCAACGAGUAGGAGGGUCGCAGCGGUUUGCGUUGAAGGCUUAGGGCAGUGGCCCGGCUGGAGCUUCCG